Molecule: non-coding RNA, 398 nt
Organism: Arachis ipaensis
Lineage: Eukaryota; Viridiplantae; Streptophyta; Magnoliopsida; Fabales; Fabaceae
Source: RefSeq, a predicted model, not a curated record
AAGGUUUUGAAGGCUUUUUCCACAAAGGAUGAUAGCCCGCCUCUAUAUGAUUGUGCUUCCAAGAAAAAGGUUAGCCUGGAACCCCUGAGAAGGAAGAAUGUGUUACUUGUUAUUUUAGGGUUAGAGUUCUCCCCUGAUGAGCUUCUGAUCCUUGAACAAAUCUAUAAUGAAUCGAGUGUCGUGCAAUCAAGGCUUGAAAGGAAAUAUGAGAUUGUUUGGCUCCCAAUUGUGGAACUCCAUGAAUCUGAAUAGACACAACAAAAGCAAAGGUAGUUUGAGGACCUGAUGUUAACCAUGCCAUGGUUCUCUGUGUAUCAUCCUUUAGCGAUAAGCAAGUCGGUCACCCGAUUCAUCUAGAGGAAAUGGAAGUACAAGAACAUGCCAAUUCUUGUGGUUCU